Chloroflexi bacterium RBG_16_47_49 is the source of this 115-nucleotide non-coding RNA. NCBI's taxonomy places the organism in Bacteria, Bacillati, Chloroflexota. The record is from Rfam.
CUUUAUUAGGGAGGCAACGAUCCACAGGUGACGAAUGGUCGCUUCCUCAGUUAUCUACCAGAAGAUAGUGAGGAAUACCUAUGGAGAGCCAAUUGCGAAACCGGCCCAGAUAUUG